AAACUUUCAGCAAUGGAUCUCUUGGCUCUCGCAUCGAUGAAGAACGCAGCGAAACGCGAAAUGUAAUGUGAAUUGCAGAAUUCAGUGAAUCAUCGAAUCUUUGAACGCACCUUGCGCUCCAGGGUCAUUCCUUGGAGCAUGCUUGUUUGAGUGUCUAGU
Molecule: ribosomal RNA, 159 nt
Filed under: Ballistosporomyces xanthus
Lineage: Eukaryota; Fungi; Basidiomycota; Agaricostilbomycetes; Agaricostilbales; Chionosphaeraceae
Also listed under: 1 other name
Description: 5.8S rRNA
Rfam family: 5.8S ribosomal RNA
About the family: 5.8S ribosomal RNA (5.8S rRNA) is a component of the large subunit of the eukaryotic ribosome. It is transcribed by RNA polymerase I as part of the 45S precursor that also contains 18S and 28S rRNA.
Source: RNAcentral